RNAcentral lists this transfer RNA (70 nucleotides) under Stathmonotus gymnodermis. RNAcentral describes it as "tRNA-Ile". It matches the Rfam family "tRNA". From Rfam's summary of the family: Transfer RNA (tRNA) molecules are approximately 80 nucleotides in length. Their secondary structure includes four short double-helical elements and three loops (D, anti-codon, and T loops). Further hydrogen bonds mediate the characteristic L-shaped molecular structure. tRNAs have two regions of fundamental functional importance: the anti-codon, which is responsible for specific mRNA codon recognition, and the 3' end, to which the tRNAs corresponding amino acid is attached (by aminoacyl-tRNA synthetases). tRNAs cope with the degeneracy of the genetic code in two manners: having more than one tRNA (with a specific anti-codon) for a particular amino acid; and 'wobble' base-pairing, i.e. permitting non-standard base-pairing at the 3rd anti-codon position. Lineage: Eukaryota; Metazoa; Chordata; Actinopteri; Blenniiformes; Labrisomidae. The record is from RNAcentral.
GGAUUUGUGCCUGAAUUAAAGGACCACUUUGAUAGAGUGGAAAAUGAGGGUUAGAGCCCCUCCAACUCCU